This 1675-nucleotide ribosomal RNA is filed under the name Klebsiella pneumoniae. RNAcentral's name for it is "partial 23S ribosomal RNA". It matches the Rfam family "Bacterial large subunit ribosomal RNA", at positions 1271 to 2925 of the family's 2925-position model. The record is from RNAcentral. Lineage: Bacteria; Pseudomonadati; Pseudomonadota; Gammaproteobacteria; Enterobacterales; Enterobacteriaceae.
UGCUGGAGGUAUCAGAAGUGCGAAUGCUGACAUAAGUAACGAUAAAGCGGGUGAAAAGCCCGCUCGCCGGAAGACCAAGGGUUCCUGUCCAACGUUAAUCGGGGCAGGGUGAGUCGACCCCUAAGGCGAGGCCGAAAGGCGUAGUCGAUGGGAAACAGGUUAAUAUUCCUGUACUUGGUGUUACUGCGAAGGGGGGACGGAGAAGGCUAUGUUAGCCGGGCGACGGUUGUCCCGGUUUAAGCAUGUAGGCUGAUUAUCCAGGCAAAUCCGGAUAAUCAAGGCUGAGGUGUGAUGACGAGGCACUACGGUGCUGAAGUAACAAAUGCCCUGCUUCCAGGAAAAGCCUCUAAGCAUCAGGUAACAUCAAAUCGUACCCCAAACCGACACAGGUGGUCAGGUAGAGAAUACCAAGGCGCUUGAGAGAACUCGGGUGAAGGAACUAGGCAAAAUGGUGCCGUAACUUCGGGAGAAGGCACGCUGGUGUGUAGGUGAAGCCCCUGCGGGUGGAGCUGAGACCAGUCGAAGAUACCAGCUGGCUGCAACUGUUUAUUAAAAACACAGCACUGUGCAAACACGAAAGUGGACGUAUACGGUGUGACGCCUGCCCGGUGCCGGAAGGUUAAUUGAUGGGGUUAUCCGUAAGGAGAAGCUCUUGAUCGAAGCCCCGGUAAACGGCGGCCGUAACUAUAACGGUCCUAAGGUAGCGAAAUUCCUUGUCGGGUAAGUUCCGACCUGCACGAAUGGCGUAAUGAUGGCCAGGCUGUCUCCACCCGAGACUCAGUGAAAUUGAACUCGCUGUGAAGAUGCAGUGUACCCGCGGCAAGACGGAAAGACCCCGUGAACCUUUACUAUAGCUUGACACUGAACAUUGAGCCUUGAUGUGUAGGAUAGGUGGGAGGCUUUGAAGCGUGGACGCCAGUCUGCGUGGAGCCAACCUUGAAAUACCACCCUUUAAUGUUUGAUGUUCUAACGUUGGCCCCUGACCGGGGUUGCGGACAGUGUCUGGUGGGUAGUUUGACUGGGGCGGUCUCCUCCCAAAGCGUAACGGAGGAGCACGAAGGUUAGCUAAUCCUGGUCGGACAUCAGGAGGUUAGUGCAAUGGCAUAAGCUAGCUUGACUGCGAGCGUGACGGCGCGAGCAGGUGCGAAAGCAGGUCAUAGUGAUCCGGUGGUUCUGAAUGGAAGGGCCAUCGCUCAACGGAUAAAAGGUACUCCGGGGAUAACAGGCUGAUACCGCCCAAGAGUUCAUAUCGACGGCGGUGUUUGGCACCUCGAUGUCGGCUCAUCACAUCCUGGGGCUGAAGUAGGUCCCAAGGGUAUGGCUGUUCGCCAUUUAAAGUGGUACGCGAGCUGGGUUUAGAACGUCGUGAGACAGUUCGGUCCCUAUCUGCCGUGGGCGCUGGAGAAUUGAGGGGGGCUGCUCCUAGUACGAGAGGACCGGAGUGGACGCAUCACUGGUGUUCGGGUUGUCAUGCCAAUGGCACUGCCCGGUAGCUAAAUGCGGAAGAGAUAAGUGCUGAAAGCAUCUAAGCACGAAACUUGCCCCGAGAUGAGUUCUCCCUGAGACUUUAAGUCUCCUGAAGGAACGUUGAAGACGACGACGUUGAUAGGCCGGGUGUGUAAGCGCAGCGAUGCGUUGAGCUAACCGGUACUAAUGAACCGUGAGGCUUAACCUU